CCCCGCAAGGGAUUAGUAGAGUGGCAAACGGGUGAGUAACACGUGGGUGACCUGCCUUCGAGCGGGGGAUAACGUCCCGAAAGGGACGCUAAUACCGCAUAACAUGCCGCCUUUUAACAGGUGGACAUCGAAGCUGGGGAUCGCAAGACCUAGCACUUGAAGAGGGGCCCGCGCCUGAUUAGCUAGUUGGUGGGGUAAUGGCUCACCAAGGCAACGAUCAGUAUCCGGCCUGAGAGGGCGGACGGACACACUGGGACUGAGACACGGCCCAGACUCCUACGGGAGGCAGCAGUGGGGAAUUGUUCGCAAUGGGCGCAAGCCUGACGACGCAACGCCGCGUGGAGGAUGAAGACCUUCGGG
This 360-nucleotide ribosomal RNA is filed under the name uncultured bacterium. RNAcentral describes it as "bacterial SSU rRNA". It matches the Rfam family "Bacterial small subunit ribosomal RNA", at positions 75 to 422 of the family's 1533-position model. The record is from RNAcentral.